Molecule: ribosomal RNA, 253 nt
Filed under: uncultured bacterium
Lineage: Bacteria
Description: partial 16S ribosomal RNA
Rfam family: Bacterial small subunit ribosomal RNA
Source: RNAcentral
UACGGAGGGUGCGAGCGUUGUCCGGAAUCACUGGGCGUAAAGGGCGCGUAGGUGGCGACCCAAGUCAACGGUGAAAGCUCGACGCUCAACGUCGAGUCGGCCGUCGAUACUGGGUUGCUGGAGCACUGUAGAGGCUCAUGGAAUUCCGGGUGUAGCGGUGGAAUGCGUAGAGAUCCGGAAGAACACCGGUGGCGAAGGCGGUGAGCUGGGCAGUUGCUGACACUGAGGCGCGACAGCGUGGGGAGCAAACAGG